RNAcentral lists this long non-coding RNA (637 nucleotides) under Physcomitrium patens. RNAcentral describes it as "long non-coding RNA (PPAT_LNC012026)". The record is from RNAcentral. Lineage: Eukaryota; Viridiplantae; Streptophyta; Bryopsida; Funariales; Funariaceae.
ACAUAAUUGUUAUCUUAAUUGAUAUGUUAGACAUAUCACACGACCCUUUUGAUAGUUAUCUGAGGUUAUAUUGUUUAUCUUAAAGAGACAACAAUUAUUUCCAAUACUGGCCUUUGGUAUCUGCAUUAAAGAGCUCCAUUUUCUUACUCCAUUUUGUUAUCAACUUGGUGAAUUUCAAGAUUGUGAAUCCACCUUAAAUUAUUAGUGUCUAAAUUUUGACAUUUUAGACAACCUCCAAUUUGGUGGCUUGACUUUUGACAAAAAAAAUAAAAUUCUUCUUGUACCAAUAUUUAUCGUCUCUAUCAUGCAAAUGAUCUUUGUAGGGUAUUAAUCUCCAACAUUGAUUGUUAUACCAUAGUAUUAGAUAACAACAUAGGACUUUACACUAUAUAUCCUACUCCACAAUUUUUAAAAUCUAUAGCAUUAGCCUUCUCUGCAAUCCUAAUUUCCUCUUGAAAUGUUUGUAGAUCUCUUAAUUCUACCUCUUACUAGACCAUAGGUUCCAACCCUUGUACAAAUCAAUCCAUCAUUUCCACCUUUGAAACAUUGUUAAUGUGGAGACUUAAGGAUUUAAAUUAAGAGAUAUAAUUUUGUAUUAAUUUGGAUUAUAUAAGAUUAGCCAACUAAUUGCAAGUAC